RNAcentral lists this ribosomal RNA (484 nucleotides) under uncultured bacterium. RNAcentral's name for it is "bacterial SSU rRNA". It matches the Rfam family "Bacterial small subunit ribosomal RNA", at positions 28 to 507 of the family's 1533-position model. The record is from RNAcentral.
GAUGAACGCUAGCGAGAGGGCCUAACACAUGCAAGUCGAGGGGUAACAGGGGAGCUUGCUCCCGCUGACGACCGGCGCACGGGUGAGUAACACGUAUCCAACCUGGCCCAUACUCGGGUAUAGCCUCUCGAAAGGGAGAUUAAUCCCCGAUGUUGUUGUUUCACCGCAUGGUGUAUCAACCAAAGAAUUUCGGUAUGGGAUGGGGAUGCGUUCCAUUAGCUUGUUGGCGGGGUAACGGCCCACCAAGGCGACGAUGGAUAGGGGUUCUGAGAGGAAGGUCCCCCACACUGGAACUGAGACACGGUCCAGACUCCUACGGGAGGCAGCAGUGAGGAAUAUUGGUCAAUGGGCGGGAGCCUGAACCAGCCAAGUCGCGUGAGGGAAGACGGCCCUACGGGUUGUAAACCUCUUUAGUCGGGGAGCAAAAAGGAUCACGCGUGGUCCAUUGAGCGUACCCGAAGAAUAAGCAUCGGCUAACUCCGUG